Molecule: ribosomal RNA, 497 nt
Filed under: uncultured bacterium
Lineage: Bacteria
Description: partial 16S ribosomal RNA
Rfam family: Bacterial small subunit ribosomal RNA
Source: RNAcentral
GAUGAACGCUGGCGGCGUGCCUAAUACAUGCAAGUCGGGCGAACAGACGAGGAGCUUGCUCCUCUGACGUUAGCGGCGGACGGGUGAGUAACACGUGGAUAACCUACCUAUAAGACUGGGAUAACUUCGGGAAACCGGAGCUAAUACCGGAUAAUAUAUUGAACCGCAUGGUUCAAUAGUGAAAGACGGUUUUGCUGUCACUUAUAGAUGGAUCCGCGCCGCAUUAGCUAGUUGGUAAGGUAACGGCUUACCACGGCGACGAUGCGUAGCCGACCUGAGAGGGUGAUCGGCCACACUGGAACUGAGACACGGUCCAGACUCCUACGGGAGGCAGCAGUAGGGAAUCUUCCGCAAUGGGCGAAAGCCUGACGGAGCAACGCCGCGUGAGUGAUGAAGGUCUUCGGAUCGUAAAACUCUGUUAUUAGGGAAGAACAAAUGUGUAAGUAACUAUGCACGUCUUGACGGUACCUAAUCAGAAAGCCACGGCUAACUACGUG